RNAcentral lists this non-coding RNA (24 nucleotides) under Mus musculus (house mouse). Lineage: Eukaryota; Metazoa; Chordata; Mammalia; Rodentia; Muridae. The record is from RNAcentral.
UGUCAUAAUUGCUCCUCCUCUCUG